This 71-nucleotide transfer RNA is filed under the name Marmota monax (woodchuck). Its description in RNAcentral is "tRNA.Ala". It matches the Rfam family "tRNA". Rfam says of the family: Transfer RNA (tRNA) molecules are approximately 80 nucleotides in length. Their secondary structure includes four short double-helical elements and three loops (D, anti-codon, and T loops). Lineage: Eukaryota; Metazoa; Chordata; Mammalia; Rodentia; Sciuridae. The record is from RNAcentral.
GGGGUUGUGGCUCAGUAGUAGAGCACUCACCUAGCAUGUGGGAGGCCCUGGGUUCAAUCCUCAGCACCACA